UCCAGGAAGGAUCCCAGUUGGGCUUCUGGAACUUUUCCUGGGGAGGUGGGGGCGGGGUGGAGUCUAGGCACAGGCGCUGCGGAACUUCCCACCCCCGUCAGUUAAGACUUUCUGCUCCAGAGCUCCUUCCAGAAUCCUCAGCUUAGGAGGGUGUGUGUGCGCAUGUGCAAAAGAGAGCCCAGGCAGGAGCCCCAGGAAGGCUUGAGAAGAAUUGGUGGACAGAGUUUGGAGCCAGAGCGAUGGAACUGUCAGGUGGCCUCUGAGAUACCAGAAAUCCAUGGAGGAAAAACAAAGGCAUCCAGCAGAAAGGAAGUCGGCCCAGAAAGAGGACAAUACAGAUGUCUGUCUGGCACCAUCGACAGCACGGCACAGAGGCCAGACUCCAGAAAAAACAGCAGAUGAACUAGAAAGGCAAAACCACUGCCUUAUAGGCAGGUCUAUUGCAACAUCCGCACAACUUAACUUUUACUGAGAGACAGUUGACCUACGGAAGAAUAACAUUAAUUUGCUUACAGAUAUUCUAUUCUAACAGUAUAUGGGUAUUUGUUGUAAGAUCAAGGUUUAUCAUAUACCUGAAAAUUUCAAAUGGUAUUUGUACAAUAUGUAACUUGCAAUUAUUUUAUUGGAAUUGUUCCAUUUUACCCAAAUUUGAUUAAAUAACAAAUUUUGCAAUUGGGAAUGUUAUGACAGUACAUUGGAUACUGUUCAAUUGCAGCGGAAAUUGUUUCUAUUAUCCAAAAUGUAUGCAUGAUAAUUGUCUUAUAUGGUUUAUUUUAUAUUUGCAAGAAGAAAGUAUGUCUUUAUUAGAAUCAGAUUUAUUUAAAAGUCAAUUUUGUUGGAAAUGGCAUUUAAACUUUUAAAAGGAAAAAGGGUGGUAAUGGUAUUCCUAACCAUCUAUCUCUCCUACAUCCCAGAGGGAUAUAGGCUAAUCCUAUGCAAUAAUAGUUUGAAUGUAAUGAUAAGGAUUACAUUGUAUGAUAUACCUGGAUUGGGUUGAAUAUUACCAGGAAAUUAAGACUAUAAGGGACCCAACAGGAUGAUAACAUUGGGUCGAGGGUUUGUUUGUAUUUCUACAGAUAGUGAAAACAUCUGGUCACCCACAAAACACAUCAUACCAUAUGACACAAGACCAGGAAGAGAAGCAGAGGAACAACAUUGUUGACAUCAGUUAGCUGCACACCAGCCACACUCCAGACACACUGGAAGAAACCAUCACUGGUGACUACAAACACACCAAAGACUGACAUUACACUGCUUUUAAUGACAUUUACUAUUAUUCUACUGAUGGACACUUGUCAUGCUGACAUCUAUUGGUCUAUUAUACCUAAACCAAUAUCAAGAAUGUUAACAUGUAUGGGCUAAGCCCCACUUGUGUAUGUUAAUGACACCAGAUAGAUCCCACACUCCAAAGACUUUACCAUGGGAUCAAAAGGGAAUAGCUACAGUUGUUCAGACACUACUGUAUACCUUUCGUUUUAUAUGUCGAAGCUAUAUACUGUCAAAAGGAAUUUAUUUUGUAUGCAUUGUAAAAUUCCUACUUGUAUUGUAAGAAAUGCUGCUAUUAACCAUUGUAUAGGCAUUGGUAUGACUCUAAAAAGAGGAGAUAGAAUUUUUCAUCCACAGCAUAUACCUAGUAACCCUGACAACAGAAAAUUAUGUUUAAAGCAGGAGACACUGAACAGGAAUUUAUAAUGGACAGAUGGUCCUGAUCUAACUCUUAAAAAAGGAUGAGAUGUCUGGCAAAAUGCACUUUGAAAUUUUUAAUUAGGAACCUAAGUUUUUGAAAAUGGUCAUCUACAUAUAUGUAUAUAGAUUAUGUUCCUGACAAUGCCUAUGUAGACAUUAUGUACUAACCACCAUUGGUGUGGUUACAUGUUAAUACCAUUUUUGAUCAUUACUCCUGAAACCCCAUCUUUUUGGGUGAUAUCUUUAUGGGAACUCUUUAAUGCUCUCUCCCACAAGCCCCAGAGUUCAGGCAGGCCGCUGGAUUUGGGGUCUAUCAUCUUCCCCUUCUAAUACUGGAAGAUGUUCUGGUUUGUGGGAAGUCUAGCCUCAGUGGUAAACUGAGUACUCAAGGUUGGACAACCUCUGUGGACGCACAGUUGUUGUCCUUCCUCUGUAGAAUAGGCUAUUCUACACCUACAUGGGACAGAGGCAAAGUAUACACCGAGUUUCCCCUUUUGGAAUAUAUAUUUAAAAAUUGGAUAAAAUUGGCACUAAUAAGCUUGUAGAAAAAGCACAUUGGAUGUUUUACAUGUACAAGGAAUUAAGUUGCAUCAAAUUCUAUAUGAGCAAGAAGCUGUAGAAAUUGCUUCUACAUGAAAAGAAACUUAGGCUUCUAUUAACCCAAAAAUUGGUUUAGUAGAGUGAAUUUUUCAUACAUUGGCAAUGUUAUAUUCUAGGUUAUUAUAUUGAAUGGUUCUUUUAUACAGAAGUAGAGAUUUAAAUAAGGCUGAUAUAAGAAAUAUGCAGCAAGAAGUUGCAAUGUCACUUCAUUAUCGUCAUUCUUGUUAUUUAAACAACAAAUCAGAAUGUAAUGUUUAUGGGAAUUUUGGUACUUGUUAAGAAUUUGCACUAAUUGUUGUAUUUAUAUUUGUGUAAAAAUUUUACAGUGUCAAUCUUGGUCAACAUAGGUUAGUAGUAGUAGUAGCCUCUCGGUAACCGAGGAUGACGAUUUUCAUUGUGCUUUUUCAUCUAUGGUGUAUAGAUGAGUGUGCACAAAGACACUUGUGUGUGAAGGAGAUUUAAGUGGAAAAGUCGUUGCACAGAGACAGUCCCACUCUCGGCAUAGGAAACCUGGGUCCAAUGGCACGAAAAAUCAUUACACCUGGAGACUUCCUCAGCUGCAUUGGAUGGCCGUGUUGUCCUUUGUGCUCCAACACAUAUAUAGGGAUAAUUGGCAUUAAAAUAUCAGCGUCUGGAAAAUCAAAGGUUUUGUUCUUUGAUUCCAAGGCACCUCCCCCCCCCCCCCCAGGUGCAUGGGUAAUUUUCCGAAUUCUCCACACUGAUGGGGAUUUUCACCCUGGGUCUAGCGUGGACAAGCUCCAUUUUUAUAUAUUGUGGUUGAGUAUUUUGUUGUGUAUAUUCAUUUGUCUCAGUUUGAGAACUGUCAUUAUUUUGAUUAGUAUUACGAUUCCUGUGGUUAUUAUAGUAUUUCUAUCAGUCCUAAAGUUGUAAUUUCUGUGAUCAUUAUUAUAGUCAUUUCUAUAGUUAUUAUUUCUAAAGUUGUUAUUUUUUCCCAUAGCCAGUUUUCACAGACCAUCAUUACAUAUUCUCUUUUUCCACAGUAAAGGCAGUUUAUUGAUUUAUCUAUGGAUUCCUGCAAAGGGGGUAUAGUCUCUCCCUGAUUUUUCAGUUUUCUUUUUAAUAUUUUAAUUUCUUUCUCUAAGUCUUCCACUGACUUAGGCCCUCCCCCCCCAUCUUUUUGUAUGGCCUUUAUAAACAUAGACUGCUACUCUCCUCAAUUCUUUGAGGUCCAUAGAGUCCCAGUUUGGGCAGCUUGUUUUAAAGUAGUCUUUUCCUACUGAACAACAAUGCUUAAUGAAUUGUCUACGUAGUUGUCUAAUGUCCCUUUCUCUGGAUUGUUCAAAGUCCAUAUAUAUGUUGCCCACAACAAUAAGUCUGCCCAUAAACUGGGAGGGAGUCUCAUCUAUUUCUUGUUUGGUUGCAUUGACACUAAUGGAGAAUUCGAUUGUACCACAGUGUAUCAGUCUCUGUGUACAAUGUUCUCCUGGUUCUGCUCCUUUCGCUCGGCAUCAAUUCCUGGAGGUUGUUCCAGUCUCCAUGAAAUUCCUCCACUUUAUUAUUCCUUUUAGCACAAUAGUAUUCCAUCACCAACAUAUACCAUAAUUUGUUCAGCCAUUCCCCGAUUGAAGGGCAUCCCCUCAUUUUCCAAUUUUUGGCCUCCACAAAGAGCGCUGCUAUAAAUAUUCUUGUACAAGUCUUUUUCCUUAUUAUCUCUUUGGGGUACAAACCCAGCAGUGCUAUAGCUGGAUCAAAGGGCAGACAGUCUUUUAGCGCCCUUUGGGCAUAGUUCCAAAUUGCCCUCCAGAAUGGUUGGAUCAAUUCACAACUCCACCAGCAAUGAAUUAGUGUCCCAACUUUGCCACAUCCCCUCCAGCAUUCAUUACUUUCCAUAGCUGUCAUGUUAGCCAAUCUGCUAGGUGUGAGGUGAUACCUCAGAGUUGUUUUGAUUUGCAUCUCUCUGAUUAUAAGAGAUGUAGAACACUUCUUCAUGUGCUUAUUAAUAGUCUUGAUUUCUUUGGCUGAGAACUGCCUGUUCGUGUCCCUUGUCCAUUUAUCAAUUGGAGAAUGGCUUGAUUUUUUGUACAAUUGAUUUAGCUCUUUAUAAAUUUGAGUAAUUAGACCUUUGUCAGAGGUUUUUGUUAUGAAGAUUGUUUCCCAAUUUGUUGCUUCCCUUCUAAUUUUAGUUACAUUGGAUUUGUUUGUACAAAACCUUUUUAAUUUGAUGUAAUCAAAAUUGUUUAUUUUACAUUUUGUAACUCUUUCUAAGUCUUGCUUGGUUUUAAAAUCUUUCCCUUCCCAAAGGUCUGACAUGUAUACUAUUCUGUGUUCACCUAAUUUACUUAUAGUUUCCUUCUUUAUGUUCAAGUACUUCCCUUUCUAUCCCCCUCCCUUCUUGUCCCUCCCUCCCUUAUUUUCCCUGUAGUCUUUCUAAAAUUAACCCCCGCCCUCUCACUCUCUUGUACUGCUUCCUUCCCCACCAGACCCUUCUACUCCCCUAUAGGGCACAAAUCUAUUCUCUGCCCCCAAUGAAUUGGAUUGUUUUUCCCUCUUUGAGUCAAUUUAGUUGAGUAUUUCCUGUCUCCAACCUCUUUACCCUUCCAGUGUAUUGAUGUUCUCCCCCCUCUCACCAUGAGCUUCUUUAUGACAUAUAAAUUUACCCCCAUUUAUUUCUU
Long non-coding RNA from Monodelphis domestica (gray short-tailed opossum), 4919 nucleotides. RefSeq lists it as uncharacterized. The record is from RefSeq and is a predicted model, not a curated record. NCBI's taxonomy places the organism in Eukaryota, Metazoa, Chordata, Mammalia, Didelphimorphia, Didelphidae.